UGUGCACCUAUUUCUUAAGAUGGAAAUUCUUUUAAUAUAAUUUUGGUUCUAAAAAUGGGAGUGAAGGAGGGCGUUUCCGUGCUUCAAUACAGCUAAGAUUUCUGAUGGCCCAAUCAAGAAAUGCAUAGCCAUAUCUAUUAAACGACCAAACAGCAGUGUGAUUUCAUUUUGAGCCUUGCGUUGAUGAGUUGAAAUAUUUCCAGCCUUUUGGUAUGAAAGCGGUGCUCCUAGAAGAGAAAUGAAGUUGUGGGGGUGCCGUCUCUCUUGUUCUAUGGAUCAAGGGAUUUUUUUAUAUGCUCUUAUAAAAUGGUGCAAGAUUUUGUACCUCUCUUUGUAAGAUGAGGAGCGGAGAAUAAAGCAAAUGGGAAGUUGCGCAAUAUUUUGCUA
This 387-nucleotide long non-coding RNA is filed under the name Nicotiana benthamiana. RNAcentral's name for it is "long non-coding RNA (NBEN_LNC038134)". The record is from RNAcentral. Lineage: Eukaryota; Viridiplantae; Streptophyta; Magnoliopsida; Solanales; Solanaceae.